CCCAGACUCCUACGGGAGGCAGCAGUGGGGAAUAUUGCACAAUGGGGGAAACCCUGAUGCAGCGACGCCGCGUGAGUGAAGAAGUAUUUCGGUAUGUAAAGCUCUAUCAGCAGGGAAGAAAAUGACGGUACCUGAUUAAGAAGCCCCGGCUAACUACGUGCCAGCAGCCGCGGUAAUACGUAGGGGGCAAGCGUUAUCCGGAUUUACUGGGUGUAAAGGGAGCGUAGACGGUGAUGCAAGUCAGAAGUGAAAGCCCGGGGCUCAACUCCAGGACUGCUUUUGAAACUGUGUGACUGGAGUGCAGGAGAGGUAAGCGGAAUUCCUGGUGUAGCGGUGAAAUGCGUAGAUAUUAGGAGGAACACCAGUGGCGAAGGCGGCUUACUGGACUGUAACUGACGUUGAGGCUCGAAAGCGUGGGGAGCAAACAGGAUUAGAUACCCCCGUAA
Molecule: ribosomal RNA, 446 nt
Filed under: uncultured bacterium
Lineage: Bacteria
Description: bacterial SSU rRNA
Rfam family: Bacterial small subunit ribosomal RNA
Source: RNAcentral